CAGGUGGUCAGGUAGAGAAUACCAAGGCGCUUGAGAGAACUCGGGUGAAGGAACUAGGCAAAAUGGUGCCGUAACUUCGGGAGAAGGCACGCUGACACGUAGGUGAAGUGGUUUACCCAUGGAGCUGAAGUCAGUCGAAGAUACCAGCUGGCUGCAACUGUUUAUUAAAAACACAGCACUGUGCAAACACGAAAGUGGACGUAUACGGUGUGACGCCUGCCCGGUGCCGGAAGGUUAAUUGAUGGGGUCAGCGCAAGCGAAGCUCCUGAUCGAAGCCCCGGUAAACGGCGGCCGUAACUAUAACGGUCCUAAGGUAGCGAAAUUCCUUGUCGGGUAAGUUCCGACCUGCACGAAUGGCGUAAUGAUGGCCAGGCUGUCUCCACCCGGGACUCAGUGAAAUUGAACUCGCUGUGAAGAUGCAGUGUACCCGCGGCAAGACGGAAAGACCCCGUGAACCUUUACUAUAGCUUGACACUGAACACUGGUCCUUGAUGUGCAGGAUAGGUGGGAGGCUUUGAAGUGUGGACGCCAGUCUGCAUGGAGCCGACCUUGAAAUACCACCCUUUAAUGGCUGGUGUUCUAACGUGGGCCCCUGACCGGGGUUGCGGACAGUGUCUGGUGGGUAGUUUGACUGGGGCGGUCUCCUCCUAAAGAGUAACGGAGGAGCACGAAGGUUGGCUAAUCCUGGUCGGACAUCAGGAGGUUAGUGCAAUGGCAUAAGCCAGCUUGACUGCGAGCGUGACGGCGCGAGCAGGUGCGAAAGCAGGUCAUAGUGAUCCGGUGGUUCUGAAUGGAAGGGCCAUCGCUCAACGGAUAAAAGGUACUCCGGGGAUAACAGGCUGAUACCGCCCAAGAGUUCAUAUCGACGGCGGUGUUUGGCACCUCGAUGUCGGCUCAUCACAUCCUGGGGCUGAAGUAGGUCCCAAGGGUAUGGCUGUUCGCCAUUUAAAGUGGUACGCGAGCUGGGUUUAGAACGUCGUGAGACAGUUCGGUCCCUAUCUGCCGUGGGCGCUGGAAGAUUGAGGGGGGCUGCUCCUAGUACGAGAGGACCGGAGUGGACGCAUCACUGGUGUUCGGGUUGUCAUGCCAAUGGCACUGCCCGGUAGCUACAUGCGGAAGAGAUAAGUGCUGAAAGCAUCUAAGCACGAAACUUGCCCCGAGAUGAAUCUUCCCUGAGCCUUUAAGGCUCCUGAAGGAACGUUGAAGACGACGACGUUGAUAGGCCGGGUGUGUAAGCGCAGCGAUGCGUUGAGCUAACCGGUACUAAUGAACCGUGAGGCUUAACCUU
This 1288-nucleotide ribosomal RNA is filed under the name Salmonella enterica subsp. houtenae serovar 44:z36,[z38]:-. RNAcentral's name for it is "partial 23S ribosomal RNA". It matches the Rfam family "Bacterial large subunit ribosomal RNA", at positions 1660 to 2925 of the family's 2925-position model. Lineage: Bacteria; Pseudomonadati; Pseudomonadota; Gammaproteobacteria; Enterobacterales; Enterobacteriaceae. The record is from RNAcentral.